GAACGUUAGGUUCUAGGAACUGCAAAAAACUAGCCUGACAAGCCAGACCCACAUCAUCAAGAUGUCGGGUCUGGGAACUCCCCAUUUGCAGGGCUCAAUCCGAGGGGCGGGAUCAACGGCUGUCUUUCCCUCUCCACGCAAUAAGAUAGAUCUCCAAC
Etheostoma cragini (Arkansas darter) is the source of this 158-nucleotide long non-coding RNA. RefSeq lists it as uncharacterized. The transcript is spliced from 4 exons. Lineage: Eukaryota; Metazoa; Chordata; Actinopteri; Perciformes; Percidae. The record is from RefSeq and is a predicted model, not a curated record.